GACAGAUGGGAGACAUGGUGCAUGCAGGUAUUACUUGGCACUGAGGAAUCAGUGUGGGAGGGAUUCCUCCAGCUGGAAAUGGGAAACAGAGUAUAGGUAGUGUUGAGAUUGCCCAUCCAACCAGGAUCUUCACUACACCAGUGUGCUGUGUGGGAGGCAGGGGAAGGAGGGAGGAAGAAGGAAGAGUGGAGGCCCAGGGCAGUGAUCAGCUGAUACUGGGGGUUCCAGUGUCACCCCCUCUCCUUGUCUCCUCCCUGCUACCUGGGGCGCUGGCCAUCAAGAAAACAAUGCGCAACUACAGCUAGUGGUUACAGUGGAACAGAUGAUGCGGCUUGACAGAGCUGACCACAGCUGAUUGUUAGAGAGAUUUAUUCUGCAGCAUCAAAGUGUUCAACAGGCUGCCCUGAGUUAAUGUGAAACUGCUACAGUCCCCUAACAGCUAGAGAGACCUUCCGUAGUGUAACAGCUUCUGAGAUGAUGUCGGAAGCCAGAGCCCUAUAAUGGCAUUAUAACCUAAAAUGGUUGUACAGCAGCCAGUGUUGCCAAGAUGCUUCAACAGAUAAAUCCAUCAGCAGAGAAACAGUAAAACACAAUUCCCAUUGCGAGGUCCUGUCUUGUCAAGUUGAGCAAUGGAUGACAACACAUGAACAUGAUGAAUAUCUACCGACCAUACAUCACUGACCUGGCGGCAGGCUACCAUCAAAACAGACCAUUGAGAUAUGGACAUUUUCUGCCAAUUAGCAUGUCAAUAGCAUAAGCCACCUUAAUUUCAAUUCCAAAUUUUAUAUUCAAGUGACACCAUUUUGUAGACUUUUACAAUCCAUGUUCAUAUUUUGACAAACAUAGUUAACUAUUAAGGUAACUUUAUCCUUAAUAAACACAUCAUUUGUAUGGAAUCCUCUGUUAAUGUUAAGUUACAAAUUGUGUGUGUGUGUGUGUGUGUGU
Haliotis rubra (blacklip abalone) is the source of this 945-nucleotide long non-coding RNA. RefSeq lists it as uncharacterized. The transcript has 5 exons. The record is from RefSeq and is a predicted model, not a curated record. Lineage: Eukaryota; Metazoa; Mollusca; Gastropoda; Lepetellida; Haliotidae.